Molecule: long non-coding RNA, 1166 nt
Organism: Leptopilina boulardi
Lineage: Eukaryota; Metazoa; Arthropoda; Insecta; Hymenoptera; Figitidae
Exons: 2
Source: RefSeq, a predicted model, not a curated record
AACAUAGGGUAACUGCACCAGUGGUGGAUCAUGCACCAGUGGUGGAUCAACUGCGAGAAAAAUGGUCAUUUGUGUUUACACGUUUGUAAGUAAAUGAACCGCAAGUGUCGGUAAUUGUUAAGAAAGUUAUACAGAUCAAUAUUACAAUUUAAAAAAAUUUUUAAAUUCAUCGCGAAGAAAGCAGGACAACAAUUACUAAAGUGGUGACAGAAAACAAGAGUUUUCCUUAACAUGAGGCAUUUCGUUUCAUCCCCAUAGAGUCCUGAGAACAAUAUUUACGUCUGUAAGUAGCGCGUGUCCAUUGUUUUGGGGUGAUCCACGACUGGAACCAAAAAAGUAACAAAAUCUAGUGGUGGAUCAGUCCUACUUUUCGCCUGUUGACGCAUUGUUUUAUUGAAAAUUUUAUGAGUUAAAUUUUAGUUAACACUAAUUCAAAUGUUUAUUAAUUGGUAACACCUGGGGGUCGAUUACGUAACUUUCCCACUUCCCACAUCCCACAUCUCACUUCCCACAUUUUACAUCCCACUUCCCAAAUCCCACAUCUCACUUCCUACAUUUUACAUCCCACUUCCCACAUUUUACAUCCCACAUCCCAUAUUUCACAUCUCACUUCUCACUUCCCAUAUUUCAUAUCCCACUUCCCAUAUUUCACAUCUCACUUCUCACUUCCCAUAUUUCAUAUCCCACUUCCCACUUCCCAUAUUUCACAUACCACAUCCCACUUCCCAUAUUUCACAUUCCACAUCUCACUUCCCACAUUUCACAUCCCACUUCUCACUUUUCAAACUUCACAUCUCACAUUGUACAUUACACUUUUCUUAUCACGCUUCCCACCUUUUAUAUCCCACUUCUCACAUCUCUCCCAUUUCCAACAAGAUGUUGGAUGUGGGAAGUGGUAUGUAAAAUGUGGGAAGUGAGAUGUGGGAAAUGGGAUGUGGGAAUUGAGAAGUGGGAUGUAAAAUGUAGGAAGUGAGAUGUGGGAUGUAAAAUGUGGGAAGUGAGAUGUGGGAUGUAAAAUGUGGGAAGUGAGAUGUGGGAAAUGGGAUGUGGGAAUUGAGAAGUGGGAUGUAAAAUGUAGGAAGUGAGAUGUGGGAUGUAAAAUGUGGGAAGUGAGAUGUGGGAAGUGGGAUGUAAAAUGUGGGAAGUGAGAUGUGGGAAAUGGGAUG